Long non-coding RNA from Seriola aureovittata, 2332 nucleotides. RefSeq lists it as uncharacterized. NCBI's taxonomy places the organism in Eukaryota, Metazoa, Chordata, Actinopteri, Carangiformes, Carangidae. The transcript has 5 exons. The record is from RefSeq and is a predicted model, not a curated record.
UAGACGUCAGAGUAAUGGCCUAUCACGCUGUAGGCUGCUGUGUACACAGACGCUCACACACUAGAGCGGCUCCAGGUGAGGAAUGGGACUGUGUGUCGAAGAGCAGUCUUACCCGGACCAACAUGGCGGCGACGUUGACGUAUCCCGGCGACGUUGACGUAUCCCAGCAACGUUGACGUAUCCCAGCAACGGACUGAAGCGGUGGCGGUUAAAAGUCGUGUCCGCCUUGGACCACGGACAUUUCUUUAGUGUGCGUCCACAGAAAAACCACACACACAAAUCCUUACAGACUAAACAGUCUGAACCUUGACCUGGAAUCUGCGUCCCUUUUAUUCGUCCCCUCACCUGAACACUAAAUGUUGUCCUGACCCGACACCCUGAAAUGAUUGCUGCCACACCUGUAAAGACACUGGCCCAAUCCCAGGGUCCACCCUCACAGACUCAUAGGCUCGGUGCUGCGUUCAGGUAAGUUUUUGAAGGUUUAGUUCUGUCCCACUGUCAAUCCAUUGAGGACAUUAAAACUCUAAGGCAGACAUUUUAAGCCCUUUAUUCACACACAAUUGCCAAAAGUUCAUAGCAUUGUGUCAUUAAACUCAGGGUUGCAAUGGUUAUCAGGGGACGCCCAGAAGCAUAAAAAACAGCAAACAGCAGCCAUAAAAUGCAAGAAAUAAUAAGGUAGAAGAACAAACAAGCAUGAGUGGAACGAACCGAAAUGUAAAAUCAAAAGUCCCAAACCAACAAUUGAAUACAAAUGUUUUGUUAUCAUCAAGGUAACAUGAUAUAAGUGCUGUCCUAUUGCUCUGUUGCAGCUAUUUGUUAUUUUUUUUUAAUAUUAAAUUACUAAUUAUUAAGUUAUUUUUUGUUGUGUAGUUCUGAAGAAUACACCUUUAGUUUGCUUAUAACAUUUAGUAUUAUUUGAGUACUUGUUAAUGCUUUUAUUUUGAAGGUACUGGGUAGCUGAGGUGCACUGGGUGAAUCUACAUAUAGGGGUAUGCAGGUAUAGGUGAGCCAGGCACCUGGGAGGGUUUAUGGUUUUUUUUUACCAGGGCAAGAGAGGCGGCAAAUGCCAUUGUUCUUUGUUUCAUUUAUUUGCCAAUGGAGAAAUAAACCAAAGAAACUUCAUUUUUGCUUGGACAAUGAAUUUGCCUGAGCCCCAUCUGUGCAGAUCUACACACAGUCAUCCAGCUUCAGAUCAGCCUCUUCCAAGUAAGUGUCAAUGAUUUUGAACAGUUUGUCUGCAGUGACUCUGUUUGUUACAAGUUGGUAGAAAAGCAAAUCUUCCAUAAAGUCAACCGCAUCAAUGAAUCUGACAUGUUAUCAAUAAACAGUCUUUGUUGCUGUCAGUCGCUUCAUCCAUCUGCACAGUAAACCGGCUGUCUCCAAUCUCGUCAUUAAUCUGCUCUUCUAUAUCUUUUGGCAUGUCAUAAAUGCUCCUCCAGAUAUUAUUGUUUGACAGAGGGAUAGCCUUUAGUUUGCUGGUUGUUGCUUCAUCAGUCAUAGUUGAAACCAGAUCAGUAACAGAAGGAAGAAUUAAUAUUAAUAUAAGUACCCCUGGCUUUAUCACCUUCACCUGUCUGGUCCAAUGAGUUGACGUCUGUCUGCGUUUAAAUCAUAAUCAAACAAUAUCUGUUACCAUGUGAUACAUGAUAUUUCAUUUGUUGAAACUCCACUGAUGUAAAUCUAAUUUUUUCGUGUUUAAUGUGUAAUAAAGAAACUAAAGUCUGUCCAUCAUAAUAAAUCUGCCAGAUUUAACAGGGAUCCUUGUUUCUGCAGAUGUUCUGAGGUCAUCAAUGAUAAUUGUGGAUGUGAGGAAGAACAUGUUUGCAACAUAAUAAAAUGAAUAGAAACUGUUUCUCUUCCGCAUAAAUAUAACAGCAAAUAUUAGAUUUAAACAAAACACGUCAUUUAACUGCGCACCAGAGGAAUUGAAAUGUUUAAGAAUUAGUACAGGAUGUAAACAAUAUAAAUACUUUUGACAGUAAAAAGAUUAAUCCAAUCUAUUCAGAAAAGGGUUUUUUUUUUCUUCCCACAAAUACAGACUUUCAUUUUCGGUACGGACUUUAACCGCUGUGUCCAGUGUUUCAGCUGUCGACAGAACUCAUCGGUCCGAUCAGGAUUAUUGAUUAUUUGAAAGCAGGAGAACGCCAACUGACGUCAGAAACUGGUUACUGAUCAUCCGCAGCUCAGUUAGUCUCUGAUGUUCUCAGUAGAGUUCCCGAUGGCGGCUGCGGCACCAGUGACAGAUGAUGAGCAGCCUCUGAAGCGCAGUAACAGCUUUGAAUAUCUGCCUCCUAACAGUGAGUCAAACUGAACUGAGACAGAGCUGAUCUGG